RNAcentral lists this ribosomal RNA (496 nucleotides) under uncultured bacterium. RNAcentral describes it as "partial 16S ribosomal RNA". It matches the Rfam family "Bacterial small subunit ribosomal RNA", at positions 28 to 507 of the family's 1533-position model. The record is from RNAcentral.
GAUGAACGCUGGCGGCGUGCCUAAUACAUGCAAGUCGAGCGAACAGACGAGGAGCUUGCUCCUCUGACGAUAGCGGCGGACGGGUGAGUAACACGUGUAUAACCUACCUAUAAGACUGGUAUAACUUCGGGAAACCGGAGCUAAUCCCGUAUAAUAUAUUGAACCGCAGGGUUCAAUAGUGAGAGACGGUUUUUCUGGCACUACUAGAUGGAUCCGCGCCGCAUUAGCGGGUUGGUAAGGUACGGCUUACCAAGGCAACGAGGCGUAGCCGACGUGAUAGGGGGAUCGGCCACACUGGAACUGAGACGGGGUCCAGACUCCUGCGGGAGGCAGCAGUCGGCAAUCUGCCGCAAUAGGCGAGAGCAUGACGGAGCAGCGCCGCGUGAGUGAUGAAGGUGUUCCGAUCGUAAAACUCUGUUAUUAGGGAUGAACAGAUGUGUAAGUAGCUAUGCACGUCUUGACGGUACCUAAUCAGAAAGCCACGGCUAACUACGUG